ACACACCGCCCGUCACACCAUGGGAGGUCGGAAAUGCCCGAAGUCGGUGACUUAACCGAAAGGAGAGAGCCGCCGAAGGCAGGUCUGAUAACUGGGGUGAAGUCGUAACAAGGUAAC
Molecule: ribosomal RNA, 117 nt
Filed under: uncultured bacterium
Lineage: Bacteria
Description: partial 16S ribosomal RNA
Rfam family: Bacterial small subunit ribosomal RNA
Source: RNAcentral